CGGACGGGCCGGGGCGGCGACAUGUCUCGAACCUGGUCAGGUCUGGAAGGAAGCAGCCAUAAGGGACCGCUGACGAGCGCCCUUGCCCAUCCGGGAUACU
This 100-nucleotide signal recognition particle RNA is filed under the name Coriobacteriaceae bacterium. Its description in RNAcentral is "signal recognition particle sRNA small type". It matches the Rfam family "Bacterial small signal recognition particle RNA". Rfam says of the family: The signal recognition particle (SRP) is a universally conserved ribonucleoprotein involved in the co-translational targeting of proteins to membranes. Archaeal SRP consists of a 7S RNA and homologues of the eukaryotic SRP19 and SRP54 proteins. The record is from RNAcentral. Lineage: Bacteria; Bacillati; Actinomycetota; Coriobacteriia; Coriobacteriales; Coriobacteriaceae.